RNAcentral lists this ribosomal RNA (207 nucleotides) under uncultured bacterium. RNAcentral's name for it is "partial 16S ribosomal RNA". It matches the Rfam family "Bacterial small subunit ribosomal RNA", at positions 1296 to 1500 of the family's 1533-position model. The record is from RNAcentral.
GAUUGUAGGCUGAAACUCGCCUACAUGAAGCUGGAGUUACUAGUAAUCGCAGAUCAGAAUGCUGCGGUGAAUGCGUUCCCGGGUCUUGUACACACCGCCCGUCACACCACGGAAGUUGGGGGCGCCCGAAGCCACUUAGCUAACCCUUUUGGGAAGCGAGUGUCGAAGGUGAAAUCAAUAACUGGGGUGAAGUCGUAACAAGGUAAC